GAUGAACGCUGGCGGCGUGCCUAAUACAUGCAAGUCGAGCGAACGGACGAGAAGCUUGCUUCUCUGAUGUUAGCGGCGGACGGGUGAGUAACACGUGGAUAACCUACCUAUAAGACUGGGAUAACUUCGGGAAACCGGAGCUAAUACCGGAUGAUAUUUUGAACCGCAUGGUUCAAAAGUGAAAGACGGUCUUGCUGUCACUUAUAGAUGGAUCCGCGCUGCAUUAGCCAGUUGGUAGGGUAACGGCUUACCAAGGCAACGAUGCAUAGCCGACCUGAGAGGGUGAUCGGCCACACUGGAACUGAGACACGGUCCAGACUCCUACGGGAGGCAGCAGUAGGGAAUCUUCCGCAAUGGGCGAAAGCCUGACGGAGCAACGCCGCGUGAGUGAUGAAGGUCUUCGGAUCGUAAAACUCUGUUAUUAGGGAAGAACAUAUGUGUAAGUAACUGUGCACAUCUUGACGGUACCUAAUCAGAAAGCCGCGGCUAACUACGUG
RNAcentral lists this ribosomal RNA (497 nucleotides) under uncultured bacterium. RNAcentral describes it as "partial 16S ribosomal RNA". It matches the Rfam family "Bacterial small subunit ribosomal RNA", at positions 28 to 507 of the family's 1533-position model. The record is from RNAcentral.